GACGAACGCUGGCGGCGUGCUUAACACAUGCAAGUCGAACGGAAAGGCCCAGCUUGCUGGGUGCUCGAGUGGCGAACGGGUGAGUAACACGUGGGUGAUCUGCCCCUAACUUCGGGAUAAGCUUGGGAAACUGGGUCUAAUACCGGAUAGGACAAUCGUUUAGUGUCGGUUGUGGAAAGUUUUUUCGGUUAGGGAUGAGCCCGCGGCCUAUCAGCUUGUUGGUGGGGUAAUGGCCUACCAAGGCGUCGACGGGUAGCCGGCCUGAGAGGGUGGACGGCCACAUUGGGACUGAGAUACGGCCCAGACUCCUACGGGAGGCAGCAGUGGGGAAUAUUGCACAAUGGGCGCAAGCCUGAUGCAGCGACGCCGCGUGGGGGAUGACGGCCUUCGGGUUGUAAACCUCUUUCGACAGGGACGAAGCUUUGGUGACGGUACCUGUAUAAGAAGCACCGGCUAACUACG
RNAcentral lists this ribosomal RNA (462 nucleotides) under uncultured bacterium. Its description in RNAcentral is "partial 16S ribosomal RNA". It matches the Rfam family "Bacterial small subunit ribosomal RNA", at positions 28 to 505 of the family's 1533-position model. The record is from RNAcentral.